CCUACGGGUGGCUGCAGUGGGGAAUAUUGCACAAUGGGGGAAACCCUGAUGCAGCAACGCCGCGUGAGCGAUGAAGGCCUUCGGGUCGUAAAGCUCUGUCCUAAGGGAAGAAUACUGACGGUACCGUAGGAGGAAGCCCCGGCUAACUACGUGCCAGCAGCCGCGGUAAUACGUAGGGGGCUAGCGUUAACCGGAAUUACUGUGCGUAAAGGGUGCGUAGGCGGCCCUUCAAGUCAGAGGUGAAAGGCUACGGCUCAACCGUAGUAAGCCUUUGAAACUGUAGGGCUUGAGUGCAGGAGAGGAGAGUUGAAUUCACCAUUUGGCGGUGAAAUGCGUAGAUAUUGGGAGGAACACCAGUUGCGAAGGCGGCUAUCUGGACAGUAACUGACGCUGAAGCACGAAAACGUGGGGAGCGAACAGGAUUAGAUACCCGGGUAGUC
Molecule: ribosomal RNA, 440 nt
Filed under: uncultured bacterium
Lineage: Bacteria
Description: bacterial SSU rRNA
Rfam family: Bacterial small subunit ribosomal RNA
Source: RNAcentral